This 269-nucleotide ribosomal RNA is filed under the name uncultured prokaryote. RNAcentral describes it as "partial 16S ribosomal RNA". It matches the Rfam family "Bacterial small subunit ribosomal RNA", at positions 524 to 792 of the family's 1533-position model. The record is from RNAcentral.
UACGGAGGGUGCAAGCGUUAUCCGGAAUCACUGGGCGUAAAGGGCGCGUAGGCGGUCUGUUAAGUCCGAUGUUAAAGACUGGGGCUCAACCCCAGCAUUGCGUUGGAUACUGGCAGGCUUGACGGUUGGAGAGGCGAGUGGAAUUACCAGUGUAGCGGUGAAAUGCGUAGAUACUGGUAGGAACACCCAUUGCGAAGGCAGCUCGCUGGACAACACGUGACGCUGAGGCGCGAAAGUGUGGGGAGCAAACCGGAUUAGAUACCCCUGUA